GAAAGCAGGCUGAGCAAGCUGUGGGGAGCAAGCCAGUAAGCUGCUCCUCCGUGGUCUCUGCUUCAGUUCCUGCCCUGACUUUCCUUCGUGGUAGACUAUAAGCGCAAAGAGCCAAAGAAGAACUUCUGUGGUCCAGGAGCAUCUACCUGGUAACCGAGUGGUAACGUCAUAGAGUCCAGCACAUUCGUUGUCGACUACCGCAUCUGGGUGAUGGCCAAGGCAAGGGAAGAGCAAGACAUAACUGAUGAUGGUUGCGGAGCUGGCAGCCAUCAGCCAUUUGCAAGCCUUUGUUCAUCGGGUUCAAUGGAGAGUCACCAUGGGGCAGCUUCCAGGAUGCUGACGCUGGAGAGCAGUCGGCAUCAACGCAGACAAGUGUCGUGUUCUUGGGUACAGGCAUUUAACUGGAAAUGCAAAGUGUCUCCUACCCCAGUCUGAGUGUGACACACCAUGGUCCAUGGUCAAACCAUGAACUCCGAGGUGAUGCAGAAGCAGAGUCAGUCUUAUGCGAUUUGUAGAUGUGUCUACAAUAGUUUACAGAUGUAUAUGUAUGACUUCACUUGUAUAAUGCUUCUUUAGCCCUAUGUUAUCGCCAUCUUUUCCUAAUGUUUAAUAAUUCUUUGACAGUUCUGCACAAUGUAUUUAUUCAGCUAUCUCCCAGCUCCUCCCAGUUACAUCCAACAAAUAAACACAUAAAUACACACAAA
Mesocricetus auratus (golden hamster) is the source of this 704-nucleotide long non-coding RNA. RefSeq lists it as uncharacterized. The record is from RefSeq and is a predicted model, not a curated record. The transcript has 3 exons. Lineage: Eukaryota; Metazoa; Chordata; Mammalia; Rodentia; Cricetidae.